UACGAAGGGGGCUAGCGUUGCUCGGAAUUACUGGGCGUAAAGGGCGCGUAGGCGGCACUGUUAGUCAGGCGUGAAAGUCCUGGGCUCAACCUGGGAACUGCGCUUGAUACGGCAGAGCUAGAGGAUGGAAGAGGCUCGCGGAAUUCCCAGUGUAGAGGUGAAAUUCGUAGAUACUGGGAAGAACACCGGUGGCGAAGGCGGCGAGCUGGUCCAUUACUGACGCUGAGGCGCGACAGCGUGGGGAGCAAACAGG
This 253-nucleotide ribosomal RNA is filed under the name uncultured bacterium. RNAcentral's name for it is "partial 16S ribosomal RNA". It matches the Rfam family "Bacterial small subunit ribosomal RNA", at positions 524 to 776 of the family's 1533-position model. The record is from RNAcentral.